This 500-nucleotide ribosomal RNA is filed under the name uncultured bacterium. Its description in RNAcentral is "partial 16S ribosomal RNA". It matches the Rfam family "Bacterial small subunit ribosomal RNA", at positions 29 to 523 of the family's 1533-position model. The record is from RNAcentral.
AUUGAACGCUGGCGGCAUGCCUUACACAUGCAAGUCGAACGGCAGCACGGGAGCAAUCCUGGUGGCGAGUGGCGAACGGGUGAGUAAUAUAUCGGAACGUGCCCAGUCGUGGGGGAUAACGUAGCGAAAGCUACGCUAAUACCGCAUACGAUCUAUGGAUGAAAGCGGGGGAUCGCAAGACCUCGCGCGAUUGGAGCGGCCGAUAUCAGAUUAGGUAGUUGGUGAGGUAAAGGCUCACCAAGCCGACGAUCUGUAGCUGGCCUGAGAGGACGACCGCCAAGACGGGGACGGAGACCGGGCCAGGACUCCUAGGGGAGGCAGAGGGGGGGAUUUGUGGACAAUGGGCGCAACCCUGAUCAACAAAUGCCGCGGGCAGGAGGAAGGCCUUGGGGUUUUAAACUGCUUUUGACCGGAACGAAAGGGCGAGCUCUAAUACAUUUUGCUAAUGCCGGUACCGUAAGAAAAACCACCGGCAAACUACGUGCCAGCCGCCGCAGUAA